UGCAUCGGCCGGGAAUCGAACCCGGGCCGCCCGCGUGGCAGGCGAGCAUUACACUGAACCACCGAUGC
This 68-nucleotide transfer RNA is filed under the name Cordylochernes scorpioides. Its description in RNAcentral is "tRNA-Gly". The record is from RNAcentral. Lineage: Eukaryota; Metazoa; Arthropoda; Arachnida; Pseudoscorpiones; Chernetidae.